CCAGGGUCUGGGGAUGAGAAAAUUCAUAAGCUCUCAAAGUUAGGAGGAGGUCGAAUAUUGAGUCGAGAUGAAGAUUAUUAAGAUUUGAUAUCUUGAUAUUCAAUCUAUAUUAAGCCCACAGCGAGAUCCAUGACAACAAACAGAGUCCAACAAGUCCAAGAUCAGUCUAAACAGAGUCCAGAUGAAGAAGUUACAGUCAAAGAAAAUCUAUACGG
This 215-nucleotide long non-coding RNA is filed under the name Elaeis guineensis (African oil palm). Its description in RNAcentral is "long non-coding RNA (EGUI_LNC030118)". The record is from RNAcentral. Lineage: Eukaryota; Viridiplantae; Streptophyta; Magnoliopsida; Arecales; Arecaceae.